CAGAACUGGGUUACAGGGGAAAGAAGAGUACAGUUGCUCAAUCCAGACAAAUUGGAGGAGUAUCUGGGACCAAAGUAGUGCUGCAUGCAACUGAGAAAGGUGAACAAAAAGGACAGAGUGCUAAUCCAGUCCGCUGUCCAUAGAGAAGACUUGAAGUCACCUGUCGAUUUGCCCUUCUUUCGUGUGAUUCUGUGGUGUUGACGUGAAGAUACGCACGGUUCUGCAGACGACACCCUAAAAAACAUGGAUUGCCUCCUUGGUGUGGUAUAUCUGCUGCAGGAAGUGAUCCAGUCUCAUCUACAAGUUGUCAUCAGAAUCUGUCUGACAGCAUUUAGCUGCAGUCUUGACUUUCUUGUGUCAGGUGGGGGUGUUUCCUACAUCAAAGUGGAAGUAAGAAUGCUGCCCACAACUCACAGACAAAUUGAGGGGCUCAGAACACACACAAAGUUAAGCUUAAAUUUGUUGCUUUAUCUUCACAUAUUACACUUUGCAGCUCCCAAGGGUCUUCAUGGAAUCCAGUCAAAUAUUAGGUAUAGUACAGAGAGGCAGUCUCUUACUCCUUUCAACUCCAAUGGCACUUUAUUCUUGGGGAGCGGGUAUUAUUUUAAUAUUGGGUUUUGUUGCAAAUUUAAUCACUCUUAGCUUCUAAACAGCCAAGUUUGAAGGCAACGCUUAAUUAUGAGGAGCUGAUUACCAGUCAGGGCAAAGACAUAACAGAAUUUGAAAACAGAAUCUUGAAAGACUAGAAAAAUGGUCUGGAAACAAAACAAGACUCAACCUGGAAAAAUAAGUAAACUUAUGCCUUUGGGUACAAUCAUCCGAAACACACAACAGCAAUGGGAAGGAGUAAAGAGAUGAGCAACAAAAGUGGUUAAGGGGUUGAUUUACAAGGUGAGAGGAAAACAAUUAAAUAGUAUGUCCAAUUUGGCUAAGAAACUGCUAGAGGAAGGGAAGACGUAAGAGUCUACAAAUAUUUGAAGGGCGUAUACAUCAAAGAGAGAACAGGAUUAUUUAGCAUAUUCAAAAGAGUAAGUAAUGCACAAAGUAAAUAACAAGUAGGAGUAAUGGUAUGACAUUUUAUAAGUGGAAACUUAGGCAGAAGAGCAGGAAAAACUUCCUGACAGAGAUGUAUUAGCCUCUGGAAUCAUCCCCCAAAGGAAGUCCUGGAAGCCUCAUCACUUGGCAGAUAUAAGCUGGACUGGAUAAAACGGCAAGUACUGGAAGGGCCUGAUCCAAAACCACUGAAGUCAAUGGAAAGUCUCCCACUGAGUUCUGUGGGGUUUGGAUCAGACCCUAAAUAUCAAGCAGGGAACAAUCCUGCAAUGGAGAGGAGAUGAACUAUCAGUAGGUGACUUUACAAAAGGGAUCCAGGGUGGUAGUAGCCGCUGCCUGCACCAAAUAAAAAGGAAAACAAGUGCAAAAUUAAGAACAAAAUAAGGAAUCCUGCUGCUUUAAGGCAACACCGCUGUCUGUGAAGAGCUGCUCUGCUUGGGCCAACAGAGAAAGAGAGAGAGAGAGAGUCAGGAGGGUUGAGGUUUUCAUUAGCCCCUGGGAGAAUCAUGGGAGAAUCAAUUGCCAAACAAAGACAACUUCACUUUACCCAGGGCAGGACAUGUGUGGGUGAGGGUGAGAGAGAGAGAGAGAGAGAGAGAGAGAGAAUGUGUGUGAGAGAGAAUGUGCACUGUAUUUUUAAAUGUGCAAGAAGCCAAGCUGGAGGGAGCUGGAGAAGGCUGGAGCCAAGCAGAGGGCAAGGAAGAAUAGCUACACAGCUAAUACAGUUUUCCUUAUUCUAAUAAAGUUCCUUGUUCAGUUUUAGAAGUAACCAACUCUUUGUGAUUUUUGUUCACCAUAAAAAUGGACAGUGCACUGCUUCCUUCCCGAGAGCUCCUUAAUCUACCAGCCCUAUUAAUACCCUUUCUUGGGCUGAGCAGCCAUCUCUGGGAUGAGACAGACCUCCUGCCUGGUUUUCAUUGCAUGCAAUUAACCCCCUCCCUGCCUUUCUGUGUGGGGUACAUACACUCCAUCACCACUGUUGAAUAGGGAUAUUCUGUCUCCAGAUUCUAUGGGCCAAAAUCUGUUAUCAGCUGCACCGGUGUAAAUCUGGAAUCGCUCCACUGACUUCAGAGGAAUAACUGCAUUCACACUGUAUAAGAGAGCUGAAUUUGGGUCUAUGAUUCUGUAAAACUUUCCUCUCUGGCAAAUAAAUAUUUAAAUUAUAUUUGUAAUUAAAAAAUAAUUAUCAGUUGAAA
Molecule: long non-coding RNA, 2249 nt
Organism: Mauremys mutica (yellowpond turtle)
Lineage: Eukaryota; Metazoa; Chordata; Testudines; Geoemydidae
Exons: 3
Source: RefSeq, a predicted model, not a curated record